This is a long non-coding RNA of Felis catus (domestic cat), 3165 nucleotides long. RefSeq lists it as uncharacterized. The record is from RefSeq and is a predicted model, not a curated record. Lineage: Eukaryota; Metazoa; Chordata; Mammalia; Carnivora; Felidae. The transcript has 11 exons.
UUUUAUAUAUUGCUUUCUGAUGUAGGAAUAAGAAGACAUUGUGGGCAACGUGAUUGUUUCUUUCCCGAGAACACGUCUGCUCCCAAAGGGGAGCAAAGAUAGAAGGUCAGAAGAAAGAGCAGGAGGCAAUGGAAGGUACUUUUCUUCUCUUCCUGAAGAGAAAUAUCUAGAAGAAGUGAUUGGCCACCUUUGCAAAUGUGCCUUGGACCAGCCAUGGGUGUCUGAGAUGUAUCCUACUCAAUAAGAACUUUUGGGGAAACCACCAGAGCAUUCAUUCAGAGAUCAUUGUUUUACUAUCUCUGCAUCAGGGCAUCAUAAGCAUUUGGAAUGAUUCUUCCUGACCAGAAUACACAGAUGGCAUGUUUGGCUCUUUGACAAUGGCAGAAUCUGGGAACUAACACAGAAGGCUAUUCCCUGAAGCAAAAUGGAUUGAUCCAGAUGCAGAAAGCAAAACAGAUCAUCAUGAUGGAGACAUGGGUGUCGGCUGGAGGUAACCACAGAAUGUGGCUCUGAGGCUGUCUUCACUGAGAACACUAUGUGUCCGAGAGUGACCGCCAACCAAUCUUUCCUGGAGCGACCAGUCAUCCAGGGUACUGUCUCUUAUAUGUGACACAAGCUCCCACACCCUUUGCUUGCACCUGCAGGCAAACAUCCAGGAAUUUAAAUAAAAACUUGAAACUAAAAAAGAAAAAGAAAUAGGGUCUUUGCAGAUGUAAUUAAUCUCAAAAUUAAAUCAUCCUGAGUUUGGAGUGGGUCCUCAAUCUAAUGACUGGUGUUCUUAGAGGGAGAGAGAACACAGAAAGACACAGACACCACACAAGGGAGAAUGCCAUGUGACACCCACGUGAAGAUCAGGAUAGUGCAUCUACAACCAAAGAAUGCCAAGAAUGGAAGACAGCCAGAAAUUAGGAGACAGAGCCUGAUCCAAAUACCCUGCUCUUGUCAUAUUCUUUGUCGCUUGCAGACAGUUUUGCGUUCUUGAAACAUCCACAUAUUCCCAUGAUCAUAGCGCAAAGCAGAAAGUCUCCAGAGCCUUACGGCAGGCACAGAUGAAAUGCGGAUGCAGACGAAGGAGAGAACACUGUCAGCUUCCGAAGAAACCUUGAAGGAUUGGGAGUUGGACACGACCCAGGAAAGGGCACUCCUGGUGGAAAGAGCAGCCUGGAGCCAGGCAGGGAGCAGAGAAGCACACAUCCACAGCAACUAUAGCUAUAUGUGGUCAGUGUGUUUGGGCACAGGUCAGAAAUUUAGAUUUUUCUGACAGUGUGACGAGUGAGGACCUGCUGAAGGUGUCAGACAGGGGUGUGGGGGGGCAGUGAUAGAAUGGUACUUGCAGAAAUGAACUACUAUGUAUCUGAAGGACAGAUAGAUGAGAAAUGAACAUGGAAACAGCAAGACUGGUCCAAAAACUGUGCCACCACAUGAGAGGUGACAAAGGGCCUAAACCAGGGCUGUCGCCACGGAAAUGGAGAAUAGUGUGGUCAACCUGAGGCUACGUAACAGCUGGAACCCCUUACCUGCUCACUCUGUGCCAGAUACGGUCUUCCAGUUUUACCUGGAUUAUUUUGUUUAAUCCUCAUUACAAGCCAAUGGGAGUUAUAUUGUUAUUAUUGUAUUUUACAGAUAAGGAGAUUGAGGUUGGAUGACAAUCACUGGAAAAACCCUGGGCUCUCUCUCUUUUCCUAGCGUAGUCAUUGAGAUAGCUUCUCUCCAAGAGGGCCACCCACUGUCAUUCAUUUCCCCCGACUCUAAUUGUCAUUUCCCAUUGAGGUAGAGUCUCUUCAUCCAGCCCUUUCACUCCAGGCUGUGCUACGACUCCUUCGGUCACAGAACGUUGUGUGUACCAUACUGCCUGUGCAGUCAUCGUCAGCCAAAAAACAUAGGAAAGACUACCAGUGAGAACCACCUUGCCAAGUUCGCUCAACACGAGAAUCAUGAGAGAUGGUGACUAUGCCUGCUAAGUGUUCUGCUGUGGACAAGGCAUUGCAUGGUUAACCUGCGUUUAGGAAGUAUAAACAACCGGGACAACCCAAACUCAAACCCAGGUGUACCUGUGCUUUGAACCCCAAGGAAAUCCAUCAUAAGACAGGUUGAUAUGUCUGGUAUCAGAGACGUGGGAAGUGGUAGUGCUGGGUUCAAAUCCAUGUUUUUAACCACUGUGCCAUACCUUGUACCACUCGGAGGAUAUUGGCAAAGAUGGGGAUCGCUAGUCACCUAGGAGCAGCUAAGAGAUUGCACUAGUCCAACCUCUUCAUUUCACAGAGUGGAUCGUUUUUCUUCUGAAACCUAUUUAUCCCACCAUAUUCCAGACCCAUGAGAUCCCAGUGUUCUCAACCCUGGCUGCCCUGUGGAGUCAUCUGGAGAAGAUUUAAAACAAAACACAACGAAAGCUCAACCAGAUCAAGAGAUUUUUACCGAAUUUACAGGUCCACAGCGGCUCUCAUUUCUAUCUCCUCGACCUUGGAUCCAAACCUUCGGCAUCUCAGUAAAUGGCACAACCAAGUUGCUCAGGCCAGAAACUGGCCAGUUUGAAUACUCAGGCCAGUAUUUAUCCUCGAUUCCUCUUUCCCUUCCAUCUACAACCAAACCACCGACUUGUGUCAGGCACUGGGUAAAUGUUCAAUGAAAUCAGACAUCUAUGGUGUGGGUCUUCAUUUGGAAGGGCACAAUUUUUUAGGUUAUAUAUGUUUGUGUUGUGUACACACACACCCUGUCUGGACUCCUUCUUCUAUCCCCACGUGUCUCCUCUCUGAGAGGAUCAAAUUCAGACUCCAGAGAGAGACCCGGUACUCCGAGUGACAUCCUGACCCCAUGACGAGAGGGCUUGGGUCGCUUUUGAGCUCUUACAUUUCUGUUUUAUUCUUCCCACCCAUCACUCCUGCCUUUUACAUCAUUGGCAUAUCCACAGGUAAUUUGUGUGGCCCUGAGAAUUCUCUGCUCUGCAAAGAACUGAUAGAGAAAUGUCCUUUAAAGCAAUAAUCCCAGCCGUGUUUUAGUCAAGCAAGCAAUAAAGGGCUGCCAAGAUUGAUUAAACAGAGAAGCCAAGCCGCGGCCUCUCCUCAGUCAUGAGAGCUGUCUGUCUAGAUGACACUGCCCCAGACAAACAGACCCCUCUGACCUUCUACUCCAUAGCUUCUGUUUGGUGCUGGGAAUAGACCUCGCCGA